GUGCUUGCUUCGGCAGCACAUAUACUAAAAUCGGAACAACACAGAGAAGAUUAGCAUGGCCCCUGCACAAGGAUGACACACAAAUUCAUGACGCGUUCCAUAUUUUA
Small nuclear RNA from Mustela putorius furo (domestic ferret), 107 nucleotides. The record is from Ensembl. Lineage: Eukaryota; Metazoa; Chordata; Mammalia; Carnivora; Mustelidae.